ACUAUUUUGGCAGAUUUAAUGCAAUAAAUUUAGAAUUUAUAUAUGUAGUUUUUAUUACAAAUAGUA
RNAcentral lists this transfer RNA (66 nucleotides) under Melamphaus faber. RNAcentral describes it as "tRNA-Leu". Lineage: Eukaryota; Metazoa; Arthropoda; Insecta; Hemiptera; Pyrrhocoridae. The record is from RNAcentral.